This 74-nucleotide transfer RNA is filed under the name Chlamydiia bacterium. Its description in RNAcentral is "tRNA-Met". It matches the Rfam family "tRNA". From Rfam's summary of the family: Transfer RNA (tRNA) molecules are approximately 80 nucleotides in length. Their secondary structure includes four short double-helical elements and three loops (D, anti-codon, and T loops). The record is from RNAcentral. Lineage: Bacteria; Pseudomonadati; Chlamydiota; Chlamydiia.
GGCGGCAUAGCUCAGGUGGUUAGAGCGGGGGAAUCAUAAUCCCUGUGUCGUGGGUUCGAAUCCUACUGCCGCUA